Unclassified non-coding RNA from Pongo abelii (Sumatran orangutan), 148 nucleotides. It matches the Rfam family "Metazoan signal recognition particle RNA". Rfam says of the family: The signal recognition particle (SRP) is a universally conserved ribonucleoprotein. The record is from Ensembl. Lineage: Eukaryota; Metazoa; Chordata; Mammalia; Primates; Hominidae.
GCCAGGUGUGGUGGAGCACACCUGUAAUCUCAGCUACUCGGGAGGCUGAGGCAGGAGAAUUGCUUGAACCCAGGAGGUGGAGGUUACAGUGAGCUGAGAUCAUGCCACUGCACUCCAGCCUGGGUGACAGAGUGAGACUCUGUCUCAA